This is a non-coding RNA of Ciona intestinalis (vase tunicate), 2336 nucleotides long. The record is from RefSeq and is a predicted model, not a curated record. Lineage: Eukaryota; Metazoa; Chordata; Ascidiacea; Phlebobranchia; Cionidae.
AACAAAAAAACACACCCAUUGGAGAAGCCUAUGACUAAGUGAUGGUGGUAUUUUUUUCACUGGUUUUGGAAAUGUUCAGGCAAAAUGAACUAUAUAUUCCAUCAGCAGAGAUUGUAGCAGAAACUAACAUCGGAAAAAGACAAUCAUUGCAGCAAUUGAUAUAGCAAUAGCGAUUUUCAAUGCAUCUUGCUGCCUGCAAAACCUUUUGCAAAUAAAAAACAAAUGAUGACUGAAUGGGCAAUCUGAUACCUGGUGCAUGGAGGUCAACAUCUACAAAUUUCUCCACUAUGAAGCAUUAUGGAUUAAACAUGUAAUCGUAGAGAGAGCAGAAACAGUUCCGAAUACUAUGUCUUCUGUUGGAAGCGUUCCAUGGCAGGUUUCGUGGUUGCAGGCAUCGUGUGAUUGUGAUUACGACGAUUAAGGUCCAAAUUCAACGGUCGGAACAAAUAUAUCACGAAAUCACCGUUAAGUGUUAAUUUGCAUCAAGUUAAGUUGGAAGCAUCAUAUGAUUACCUUGCAUUUGCUUGCAACCUGUCAAUCAAAUGUUUUAAAUCACAACACGCGGCAAUAGAGGAAGCCAAAAUGGAAAUCGCCAAAACGUUGAGCUUCAGAUUUCUAAUAUAAGGCGCUGUUUCGGUUAAACAAACCACCAGUCUUCUACAGACCACAACGUAAAGAUGAACAAGUCAGCACUUCUCCUUUUGCUCGUCAUCGGACUCCUCGUUCUCCCUGAAACCAGUGCAGGUGGCGUCUGGAGUCGUCGUCGCGGCCUCUGGGGUCGUCGUCAAUACAACCAAGAGUCAACAAAUGUUGAAGAAAACGAUUUAAUGAUUAAUGAAGUUAUGCAAAAACUCAAUCAACAGGAUGAUUAAUUGCUUGCCCAUCCAGUGCAUUAUAAUAUGUUGAUUGAAUAAAUUCAAUCAAAAAGAAACAUUAUCUGGCUCGUUUGUGUAUCUUCACAGUGACCAAGCAAAUAUUUGUACCAUAUAGAAAAUAAGUUGAAAGUAACUAAAAUAAAUUAAUUUGGUUAUUGGAUAAAGGAGACUUGUCGAUUUUUCUUGAGUUUUCUGUAAUUUUUUAGGUGUUUUGAAAAUAAGCGUACUUCAUUCAACCAAAACAUCAUCUAUAUACUUCAAGUCUCUUUUAAAACAAAACUAACCAUUGUUUUACUUGAUAUCUGGUUGAUCUUGAAAAUAUUUUUGACAAACAUUGCAUAUUCACUGGACUGCGGUUAGUUGGGAAUGAAGUAUAUAAAUGAUGUUUUAGUUGAAUGAAGUAGGCUACGUUGUUUUCAAAACACCUAAUAAUAUAUAACAAAAAAUUCCGAGGGGAAAUAGUCGGGGGGGGGGGGAAUAGUCACUGUGGGGAAAUAGCCGGAGGGGAAUAGUCACGGGGGGAAGUAGCCGGGGGGAAUAGUCACGGGGGGGGGGAAGUAGCCGGGUGGGAAAUAGCCGGGGGGGAGGAAAUCGCCGAUGGGAAAACGCCUGGGGGGAUAUAGCCUAGAACCGUUAAGAUUAUAAACUUUGAUUGGCAGGUUGCAGGCAUCAUCAGAUUGUGAUUACGACGAUUAUAAGGUCCAAAUUCAACGGUCGGAACAAAUAUAUUACGAAAUCGCCGUUAAGUGUUAAUUUGCAUCAAGUUAAGUAACUGAUACAUUUGGCGGUGCUAUAUCUAAGAAUUUAUCAUAAAAUGUUUAAACAUUCCUCGUCGUUCGAUACAAAACAUCCGCUUUUCUGUCUCACGAAAACGUUUUAGCGACUUCCAUUUUGGCUUCCUGAAUUGCAUUAUAAAUUUUGAUUGACAGGUUGCAAGCAUUAUAUGAUUACCUUGCAUUUGCUUGCAACCUGUCAAUCAAAUGUUAUAAAUCACAACACGCGGCAAUACAGGAAGACAAAAUGGAAGUCGCCAAAACGUUGAGCUUCAGAUUUCUAAUAUAAGGCGCUGUUUCGGUUAAACAAACCACCAGUCUUCUACAGACCACAACGUAAAGAUGAACAAGUCAGCACUUCUCCUUUUGCUCGUCAUCGGACUUCUCGUUCUCACUGAAACCACUAACGCCCUCUGGGGUCGUCGUCGCAGAUGGCGUCAAUACAACCAAGAGUCAACAAAUGUUGAAGAAAACGAUUUAAUGAUUAAUGAAGUUAUGCAAAAACUCAAUCAACAGGAUGAUUAAUUGCUUGCCCAUCCAGUGCAUUAUAAUAUGUUGAUUGAAUAAAUUCAAUCAAAAAGAAACAUUAUCUGGCUCGUUUGUGUAUCUUCACAGUGACCAAGCAAAUAUUUGUACCAUAUAGAAAAUAAGUUGAAAGUAACUAAAAUAAAUUAAUUUGGUUAUUGGA